RNAcentral lists this transfer RNA (76 nucleotides) under Ammoniphilus oxalaticus. RNAcentral's name for it is "tRNA-Met". It matches the Rfam family "tRNA". From Rfam's summary of the family: Transfer RNA (tRNA) molecules are approximately 80 nucleotides in length. Their secondary structure includes four short double-helical elements and three loops (D, anti-codon, and T loops). Lineage: Bacteria; Bacillati; Bacillota; Bacilli; Caryophanales; Paenibacillaceae. The record is from RNAcentral.
GGGCCCUUAGCUCAGCUGGUAGAGCGGUCGGCUCAUAACCGAUUGGCCGCAGGUUCAAGUCCUGCAGGGCCCACCA